AUUGCUUGCAAUCCGCUGACGACCGGCGCACGGGUGCGUAACGCGUAUGCAACCUACCUUCUACAGGGGGAUAGUCAAUAGAAAUGUUGAAUAAUACCCCAUACGAUCUUUGAAUAGCAUUAUUUAAAGAAGAAAGCUCCGGCGGUAGAAGAUGGGCAUGCGUCCUAUUAGUUAGUUGGUAAGGUAACGGCUUACCAAGACUUCGAUAGGUAGGGGUCCUGAGAGGGAGACCCCCCACACUGGUACUGAGACACGGACCAGACUCCUACGGGAGGCAGCAGUGAGGAAUAUUGGACAAUGGAGGCAACUCUGAUCCAGCCAUGCCGCGUGCAGGAAGACUGCCCUAUGGGUUGUAAACUGCUUUUAUACAGGAAGAAAUAUACCUACGUGUAGGUAUUUGACGGUACUGUACGAAUAAGGAUCGGCUAACUCCGUGCCAGCAGCCGCGGUAAUACGGAGGAUCCAAGCGUUAUCCGGAAUCAUUGGGUUUAAAGGGUCCGUAGGCGGUCUUUUA
Molecule: ribosomal RNA, 514 nt
Filed under: uncultured Bacteroidota bacterium
Lineage: Bacteria; Pseudomonadati; Bacteroidota
Description: bacterial SSU rRNA
Rfam family: Bacterial small subunit ribosomal RNA
Source: RNAcentral